GGUACAUUAUGCAGACUUGAUGGAAUCCAGAAAGGAACUCGAAAGAAUGUAUACCCUCCAUUAACCAAAAUAUCCCUUUAGGGCACGUCCUUGGCAGCCAUCUUUGAAAUGCCUCUUAGGCAGCUACUUCAGUUGUGCAAGAGCAGCUCUCUUUGAAUGGGGAAACAUAAAAUUCUCCAAAGCUGUUCACUAACCCAGCUAGACAUGUUAUUGUUAUAAGAAUGUUUUAAGAACAUUAUGCUAUGUUCUGGUAAUGUUUUCAGUGGCAAGUUUUAUUUUUGUUCCCAGAAUAUUCUCCUAAAAAGGUAGGAUAACAUUAUUUAAAAUAUUCAUCAAAAUAUUCAUCAUGAACAUUUUUUCAAUCAUUGAAAAAAUGUUUAGUGAUAACAUUGUUAGAACAUUAUCCCCUAACGUUCUUAUAAAGUUUUUAGAGGGAAGUUUCCCAUCGGGCGCUGGAUGUGGACUUCAACAUCACCCAUAGACGUCAAACUUUGAUUGAAAAUGAAAAUCAGGUUGAUGUCUAAACACAAAAUUGUUUUGAUGUCAAGCUCCAAUGUCAUUAAACAACUCCAAAAACAGCAUUAGUAUUGAAUUUACAUAAUUCUGGCUGAUUUUAAACUUAAUAAAAGUAGAAUUUGUGCUAGAGCUUUUGAAUUGAAUUACAUUAGAUCAUAAAGUUGUAACUAAUAAAGUGGCCACUAAGUGUAUGCAACCUCCAUACUGUUGUGGCAGGAUGAGUUACGUCAUCUUAUUGGUUGGUUGGAGUGUCGUUGGUAAACCAAUUGAGUGAUAAUAGCUGCCCUAUUUAAGGACCCUUAUUUUGACGGGUAGGUAUGUUUUCUGACUUGGGGUGCUUCUCUCUCUCUCUCCCUGGCAUUUCCGUUUCCGUUCCAUUUUCCAUUCAGGUAUGUAGAGUUUUUGUUGGUGGUGUAGUGAUGCGCAUAUUGCGAGGCUAAUAUGCGCUAUUUAUAGUUUAAUUUAGAGCGGAGCUGGUGGCAUUUGGCAUUGCGGCAAGUUGUGGCGGAGUUCACUUGCAGUAAUAGCAGCAAGGGCAGGUGCGUAUGUGUGUGAAGGCUGAUCGCUGGACUGAGCUGCGGCACCGGUAGUGAGUAACCAUACAGCGUUGCGUCCAGUAUUCAACAUCAAUUGGAAAGGGGAACAUUGAGUCCAGUUCUCGGCUAGUGAUUUCACGUGACGCAGCUGCUGUUUUGCUUACGGAUAUAUUUUGGUUUCGAUCGUGUCAUUGGACUGUAUACUGUUUUGCUGCCUUGCACGUCGCCGGGGCUGUUAAAGCGGGCUUCGGAUACGCGUCCGCAAGGCUGCCUAUCAGUUAAGCUUUUGGAUUUAAUUUUUCUUGUUUAAUUUGAUUGAUUUUGUUUGUUUCGUUUUCUGUUUA
This is a long non-coding RNA of Megalobrama amblycephala (Wuchang bream), 1396 nucleotides long. RefSeq lists it as uncharacterized. The transcript has 3 exons. NCBI's taxonomy places the organism in Eukaryota, Metazoa, Chordata, Actinopteri, Cypriniformes, Xenocyprididae. The record is from RefSeq and is a predicted model, not a curated record.